This 300-nucleotide ribosomal RNA is filed under the name uncultured Bacillus sp. RNAcentral describes it as "bacterial SSU rRNA". It matches the Rfam family "Bacterial small subunit ribosomal RNA", at positions 495 to 795 of the family's 1533-position model. The record is from RNAcentral. Lineage: Bacteria; Bacillati; Bacillota; Bacilli; Caryophanales; Bacillaceae.
GGUCAGAACCGGCGUGCAGGCCGGGUGAAUACGGAUGGGUCAACCGUUAGCGUGAAGUAAGGGGGUUGAUGGUUGCGCAGGAGGGUUGUUAAGUCGGCUGUGAAAUCCCCGAGCGCAACGUGGGAAUGGCAGUGGAUACUGGCAAGCUGGAGUACGGUAGAGGAAGGUGGAAUUCCCGGUGUAGCAGUGAAAUGCGUAGAGAUCGGGAGCAACACCAGUGGCGAAGGCGGCCUUCUGGACCAGUACUGACGCUCAUGCACGAAAGCGUGGGGAGCAAACAGGAUUAGAACCCCAGUAGUC